This is a long non-coding RNA of Chinchilla lanigera (long-tailed chinchilla), 576 nucleotides long. RefSeq lists it as uncharacterized. The record is from RefSeq and is a predicted model, not a curated record. Lineage: Eukaryota; Metazoa; Chordata; Mammalia; Rodentia; Chinchillidae. The transcript has 3 exons.
AGAGCUCAAGGCUGAGGCUGGUUGUUUUCUUGCCUCCCUGGGUUUGUGAGAGACCAGCUGCAAAAUCAUUAAUUGCUUUGAUCGAGGCAGUGACUCCAGCGCCUGAGACAACAUGACGAUAAAUUGCCAAGGCAGCUCUUCUAUGGCUCAUAACUGAGAAUGAAGACCCUUCGUGACGGAUCCGUGGGGCCUCUUCCCACCCAACAGACUGGAAUCCCUAAAGUGGGAGGCUUCUGACUUCCUAACAAAUGCCUGACUCGAUUUUGCAAAUACAGGUUCAAUCUUAACAGGCUCCCUCUUCACUCCAGAUGCCUGAAGUGGACAAAAAAGGAAACACAACAGCCUUCUUAGUGAAUAACAGCGUCGGUGGGAUGGUGGUGAGGGAUGGGAGGGGGAGUGAGCUAUGGGCUGUCCUUCUUUUUACUUUCCAUUUCACCCUAUUCAAGUGCUUCCGAGUGGAAUUCAAGUCCCAGCUCAAGAUGCUGUCAGGCAGGACACAGGAGUAUGCUUUGUCUAAUCUGCAUACCCUGCCCUAUCUACGCACUAAUGGGAGCUCCACAUUUAAUAAACAUUUCA